UGGGUGGCGAGUGGCGAACGGGUGAGUAAUAUAUCGGAACGUACCGAGUAAUGGGGGAUAACUAAUCGAAAGAUUAGCUAAUACCGCAUAUUCUCUGAGGAGGAAAGCAGGGGACCUUCGGGCCUUGCGUUAUUCGAGCGGCCGAUAUCUGAUUAGCUAGUUGGUGGGGUAAAGGCCUACCAAGGCGACGAUCAGUAGCGGGUCUGAGAGGAUGAUCCGCCACACUGGGACUGAGACACGGCCCAGACUCCUACGGGAGGCAGCAGUGGGGAAUUUUGGACAAUGGGCGCAAGCCUGAUCCAGCCAUGCCGCGUGUCUGAAGAAGGCCUUCGGGUUGUAAAGGACUUUUGUCAGGGAAGAAAAGGCUGUUGCUAAUACCGACAGCUGAUGACGGUACCUGAAGAAUAAGCACCGGCUAACUACGUGCCAGCAGCCGCGGUAAUACGUAGGGUGCGAGCGUUAAUCGGAAUUACUGGGCGUAAAGCGAGCGCAGACGGUUACUUAAGCAGGAUGUGAAAUCCCCGGGCUCAACCUGGGAACUGCGUUCUGAACUGGGUGACUAGAGUGUGUCAGAGGGAGGUAGAAUUCCACGUGUAGCAGUGAAAUGCGUAGAGAUGUGGAGGAAUACCGAUGGCGAAGGCAGCCUCCUGGGAUAACACUGACGUUCAUGCUCGAAAGCGUGGGUAGCAAACAGGAUUAGAUACCCUGGUAGUCCACGCCCUAAACGAUGUCAAUUAGCUGUUGGGCAACUUGAUUGCUUAGUAGCGU
RNAcentral lists this ribosomal RNA (768 nucleotides) under uncultured Neisseria sp. RNAcentral's name for it is "bacterial SSU rRNA". It matches the Rfam family "Bacterial small subunit ribosomal RNA", at positions 85 to 849 of the family's 1533-position model. Lineage: Bacteria; Pseudomonadati; Pseudomonadota; Betaproteobacteria; Neisseriales; Neisseriaceae. The record is from RNAcentral.